This 492-nucleotide ribosomal RNA is filed under the name uncultured bacterium. RNAcentral describes it as "partial 16S ribosomal RNA". It matches the Rfam family "Bacterial small subunit ribosomal RNA", at positions 29 to 507 of the family's 1533-position model. The record is from RNAcentral.
AGUGAACGCUGGCGGUAGGCCUAACACAUGCAAGUCGAACGGCAGCACAGUAAGAGCUUGCUCUUACGGGUGGCGAGUGGCGGACGGGUGAGGAAUACAUCGGAAUCUACUUUUUCGUGGGGGAUAACGUAGGGAAACUUACGCUAAUACCGCAUACGACCUACGGGUGAAAGCAGGGGAUCUUCGGACCUUGCGCGAUUGAAUGAGCCGAUGUCGGAUUAGCUAGUUGGCGGGGUAAAGGCCCACCAAGGCGACGAUCCGUAGCUGGUCUGAGAGGAUGGUCAGCCACACUGGAACUGGGGCACGGUCCAGACUCCUACGGGAGGCAGCAGUGGGGAAUAUUGGACAAUGGGGGCAAGCCUGAUCCAGCCAUACCGCGUGGGUGAAGAAGGCCUUCGGGUUGUAAAGCCCUUUUGUUGGGAGAGAAAAGCAGCAGGUUAAUACCCCGCUGUUCUGACGGUACCCAAAGAAUAAGCACCGGCUAACUUCGUG